RNAcentral lists this long non-coding RNA (1232 nucleotides) under Canis lupus familiaris (dog). RNAcentral describes it as "lncRNA (ENSCAFG00845005288.1)". Lineage: Eukaryota; Metazoa; Chordata; Mammalia; Carnivora; Canidae. The record is from RNAcentral.
UUUUUCUGGAGUGCCUACAUAUGUUGUUCAAACAUGUGACAUCACAUGGGUCCUGGCAGUAGGACACAGCUGACUCCUGGUAACUUGAGUACCAGGAAAUGGUGAUACCAAAUGAGAGCAGUGCCGGGGAGGGGCGGGGGGGGGGGGGGUGCUUCCUGCUGAGACACUGCCAAACCUCAGAGGGAAAACAAAAAAGGUCACGGGUCACCUACAAGAAAAAAAAGACAGCUGUAAAAAGAAAUGUGACUUUAACAACUUUAUUUUCAGGUUGAAAUCCUAGUAAUUGCCAUGAUUUAUGAGUCAGCCUAGGGUCUAGGUGUCUCAUUAUAGUUUUUUUUUUUUAACUUUUUUAAAUUUAUUUUUUAUUUAUUCAUGAGAGACACACAGAGAGAGAGAGGGAGAGACACAGGCAGAGGGAGAAGCAGGCUCCAUGCAGGGAACUUGAUGUGGGACUCCAUCCGGGUCUUCAGGAUCACACCCUGGGCUGAAGGCGGCACUAAACCGCCAAGCCCCUCAGGCUGCCCACAUACACUAUUUCUAAUUUUUACAGAAUUACUCAAGGUAAACAUUCUUACUCUCAUUUUAUAAAUGAAACAAGUUCAGAGGAAGAUUAGGGAUUUAAACCCAGCCUUGACCCUUUCCCCCCUCAUGCCACCCUGCCUUCCACUUUAGACAAGAAAUAUGAAGUAUUAAAAACUGACCUUGGAGAAUGUGAUUAAUAUUAUGUGUCAAUUUAGCUGACCAUGGUGCCCAGUUAUGUGAUCAACUACCAUUCUGGAUGUUUCUGUGAGAGUGUUUUUGGUUGAGAGAUUAACAUUUAAAUUGAUAUACCAAAGCAGAUUGCCCUCCAUCAUAUGGGUGGGGCUCAUCUAAUUGAAGACAUGCAUUGACCAGACAGACUGACCUCCCCUGAGCCAGGAGAAAUUCCACCAGGAUUGGGCAUUCAGACUUCAAGUGCAGCGUCAGAGCUACUCCUUGGGUCUUCUUUCUGCAGGCCCACGCUGCAGAUUUGGGAGAAAACUGUUCUCAGAGAUGAAUGCUGGUAGAUUACAAACCAAAGGAACCAGAGAGAAAGUUGAUACACCGCUAUAGGCUGUUCUGAACUGCUUUCCUGCAGCUUCUGGGGUUUCUCUGUGAAUGGCACAGGGGUAAGUGAGCCAUGCAAAGAUGCCGAGGUCAGACUAGUGGACUCUCUUCUUCCCAGUUUGUAAAUAUGCACCUGUGUCAGAGUU